CAGCUGACAGCUGACCAUAGAUAACCUAACCUGUUUGUUUAUAUUUACAUAACCGUUACAGUCGGAGCCGGAAACUUUCUGAUUUUUAUUCGACUUAUUACACUAAUUAAAUGAGACCAUUGAUAUUGAUACUUUGAAAGCAAUCUGAUGAUUACAUGCAUUAAGAGUUCUUCUUUUGGGUACAUCAAACUUUCCAUUUUCCAAAAAUAAAAGUAAUAUUAGAUGAUCGAAAUACUCAAAAAUCUGGAGCAUUCUCAAAUAA
Molecule: long non-coding RNA, 262 nt
Organism: Coccinella septempunctata (seven-spotted ladybird)
Lineage: Eukaryota; Metazoa; Arthropoda; Insecta; Coleoptera; Coccinellidae
Exons: 2
Source: RefSeq, a predicted model, not a curated record